CACAAAAUGUACAUAGAGACUAA
Molecule: non-coding RNA, 23 nt
Filed under: Gossypium hirsutum (cotton)
Lineage: Eukaryota; Viridiplantae; Streptophyta; Magnoliopsida; Malvales; Malvaceae
Source: RNAcentral